GCUCUUUGGUGAUUCAUAAUAACUUCUCGAAUCGCACGGCCUUGCGCCGGCGAUGGUUCAUUCAAAUUUCUGCCCUAUCAACUUUCGACGGCUGGGUCUUGGCCAGCCAUGGUGACAACGGGUAACGGAGGGUUAGGGCUCGACCCCGGAGAAGGAGCCUGAGAAACGGCUACUACAUCCAAGGAAGGCAGCAGGCGCGCAAAUUACCCAAUCCCGACUCGGGGAGGUAGUGACAAUAAAUACUGAUACAGGGCUCUUUUGGGUCUUGUAAUUGGAAUGAGUACAAUUUAAAUCCCUUAACGAGGAACAAUUGGAGGGCAAGUCUGGUGCCAGCAGCCGCGGUAAUUCCAGCUCCAAUAGCGUAUAUUAAAGUUGUUGAGGUUAAAAAGCUCGUAGUUGAACCUUGGGCCUAGCCGGCCGGUCCGCCUCACCGCGUGCACUGGCUCGGUUGGGCCUUUCCUUCUGGAGAACCCCAUGCCCUUCACUGGGUGUGGUGGGGAACCAGGACUUUUACUCUGAACAAAUUAGAUCGCUUAAAGAAGGCCUAUGCUCGAAUAUAUUAGCAUGGAAUAAUAGAAUAGGACGUGUGGUUCUAUUUUGUUGGUUUCUAGGACCGCCGUAAUGAUUAAUAGGGACAGUCGGGGGCAUCAGUAUUCAAUUGUCAGAGGUGAAAUUCUUGGAUUUAUUGAAGACUAACUACUGCGAAAGCAUUUGCCAAGGAUGUUUUCAUUAAUCAGGAACGAAAGUUAGGGGGUCGAAGACGAUCAGAUACCGUCGUAGUCUUAACCAUAAACUAUGCCGAUUAGGGAUCGGACGGUGUUAUUUUUUGACCCGUUCGGCACCUUACGAUAAAUCAAAAUGUUUGGGCUCCUGGGGGAGUAUGGUCGCAAG
Molecule: ribosomal RNA, 891 nt
Filed under: uncultured Sordariales
Lineage: Eukaryota; Fungi; Ascomycota; Sordariomycetes; Sordariales
Description: SSU rRNA
Rfam family: Eukaryotic small subunit ribosomal RNA
Source: RNAcentral